Long non-coding RNA from Mesocricetus auratus (golden hamster), 1289 nucleotides. RefSeq lists it as uncharacterized. The record is from RefSeq and is a predicted model, not a curated record. Lineage: Eukaryota; Metazoa; Chordata; Mammalia; Rodentia; Cricetidae. The transcript is spliced from 2 exons.
UCAUGAUCAAGAGUUCCAUCUCCUUCUUGGAGGGUACAUUGUCUUUCUCCAGAAUCAGGAACUUGCAGUCUUUAUGCAAGAGAUCGUCACUCUGGACGCUGGUGGUGCAGGCUGCAGAGGAAAGAUUGGGCGAUUUCCCUGUAGCAGGAUAGUGACCACUUACAUCUGGUGGAUGGAGACGCACUCUGCAGUCGAACUCGAAUUUCGCUUUCUAUACGAGAGGAGACAAGAAAAAGAGAGGCUGUGGAUGAAGGAGUCUGCACCACUGUCCUGGACCCCGAGUUCAGAGCAGACCGUGGCUCACUGGGCUGCUUGGUGUGCGGCUACAAGAAGGCGUGGCCCGUUCUGCCCAGCACUCGCCAACUGCAUACUCCCAGGCACCUGAGACUUAACGAAAUCCUAGGCUGAGCAAGGAGGCCCCAUGACACGUUAUCACUGUUGCCAAGCAGUUUUCUGCCUCUGAAACCUCCGAAGUUCACUUGGUCAUCUGAACAGGGGGUCAGCAAGUCAGCAGCUUAACAGUGUUAGCUGCAGCUAGAGAGUCUUUUAACUCUCAUCCUAAGGCUGUGGGUGGCUGGGGUAGCCCCAGUUUGAGCCCCCGAUAAUGCACAAUGGGCGCACAACCUGGUCAUGGGGAACACUCAGCCUGCAAAGGACUCUGCCUUCAGCACAGCCUGACACAUGGUCAUGCAGGGCUCUGCUAGGGAGGCUUUUCCUAGGGUCUUCCUCUCCUUUGUCUUUUCUAGGUGAUGAGUUUACAAAACUAUCCCUUGAAAUAAUUUGAAAAAGAAGGGCUUUUGCUUGUCUUGAUGUAUAAAAGCAAUCAGGGCACAUCUAGGAGACCGGUUGUGAAGACAGAUGUGGUGUCCGACUGUAUCCCUGAGAUUGUCACUGCGUUUGGGUUCCCGCCUAUGGAGCUGCUUAGGUGGUUCUCAGACACCCCACCUCCCGUGCUCAUGGAGCUGUCCAGGACUCCCUCAGUUCUCUAGGCGCCUCCGGCAGAUGCGCUGUCUCAUGCAUGUGUCUGUACUCUGCUUCCUGGCUCCUAGCUACUCAGAAUGCAUUGAACUGGACUCAGUGAUGGUACUUACCUCGUGUUUGGCUUCGCCCUCUGGUUGCAGAAGAUGCUGAGAAAGAGAAAAAUGUGGUGUCAGGCACGUAUGAGAGUUGGCAUGCUGAAUAUUUUUGACACUUGAGGAUAUUUUCACAGUACCUAAAUCCAGAUUUGGGGUGGGGGUUUGCUGUAUAGAAAAUGCUAAAUAAAUGAUGCCCAGAUGCGUAAGGACAAA